This 457-nucleotide ribosomal RNA is filed under the name Escherichia coli 6-537-08_S3_C1. RNAcentral's name for it is "partial 23S ribosomal RNA". Lineage: Bacteria; Pseudomonadati; Pseudomonadota; Gammaproteobacteria; Enterobacterales; Enterobacteriaceae. The record is from RNAcentral.
UACAGAAAUUACAUUGAUAUUGUGGAUAACUCUGUGCGUAAAAAGGUAUAAAGCGGGGUUUUGCUGGGGAAUGCAGCAGUCAGUCAUUUUUCUGCAAUUUUUCUAUUGCGGCCUGCGGAGAACUCCCUAUAAUGCGCCUCCAUCGACACGGCGGAUGUGAAUCACUUCACACAAACAGCCGGUUCGGUUGAAGAGAAAAAUCCUGAAAUUCAGGGUUGACUCUGAAAGAGGAAAGCGUAAUAUACGCCACCUCGCGACAGUGAGCUGAAAGCCGCGUCGCAACUGCUCUUUAACAAUUUAUCAGACAAUCUGUGUGGGCACUCGAAGAUACGGAUUCUUAACGUCGCAAGACGAAAAAUGAAUACCAAGUCUCAAGAGUGAACACGUAAUUCAUUACGAAGUUUAAUUCUUUGAGCAUCAAACUUUUAAAUUGAAGAGUUUGAUCAUGGCUCAGAUU